This 482-nucleotide ribosomal RNA is filed under the name uncultured bacterium. RNAcentral describes it as "partial 16S ribosomal RNA". It matches the Rfam family "Bacterial small subunit ribosomal RNA", at positions 28 to 507 of the family's 1533-position model. The record is from RNAcentral.
GACGAACGCUGGCGGCGUGCUUAACACAUGCAAGUCGAACGAUGAAGCGGAGAAACGCGAACUUCGGUUCAAAUUUCACUUCGGAUUAGUGGCAGACGGGUGAGUAACGCGUGAGCAACCUACCUCUUACAAAGGGAUAGCCUCGGGAAACCGUGAUUAAUACCAUAUGACACAUUCAUAAGGCAUCUUAAGAAUGUUAAAGCUACGGCGGUAAGAGAUGGGCUCGCGUCCCAUUAGCGAGUUGGUGAGGUAACGGCCCACCAAGGCGACGAUGGGUAACCGGCCUAAGAGGGUGAACGGUCACAUUGGAACUGGGACACGGUCCAAACGCCUACGGGAGGCAGCAGUGGGGAAUAUUGCACAGUGGAGGGAACUCUGAUGCAGCGACGCCGCGUGAGCGAUGAAGGAAUUCGUAUCGUAAAGCUCUAUUCUAUGGGAAGAAAAGGACGGUACCAUAGGAGAAAGCCCCGGCUAAAUACGUG